This 497-nucleotide ribosomal RNA is filed under the name uncultured bacterium. RNAcentral's name for it is "partial 16S ribosomal RNA". It matches the Rfam family "Bacterial small subunit ribosomal RNA", at positions 28 to 507 of the family's 1533-position model. The record is from RNAcentral.
GAUGAACGCUGGCGGCGUGCCUAAUACAUGCAAGUCGAGCGAACAGACGAGGAGCUUACUCCUAUGACGUUAGCGGCGGACGGGUGAGUAACACGUGGAUAACCUACCUAUAAGACUGGGAUAACUUCGGGAAACCGGAGCUAAUACCGGAUAACAUGUUGAACCGCAUGGUUCAACAGUGAAAGACGGUCUUGCUGUCACUUAUAGAUGGAUCCGCGUCGCAUUAGCUAGUUGGUAAGGUAACGGCUUACCAAGGCAACGAUGCGUAGCCGACCUGAGAGGGUGAUCGGCCACACUGGAACUGAGACACGGUCCAGACUCCUACGGGAGGCAGCAGUAGGGAAUCUUCCGCAAUGGGCGAAAGCCUGACGGAGCAACGCCGCGUGAGUGAAGAAGGUCUUCGGAUCGUAAAACUCUGUUAUUAGGGAAGAACAAAUGUGUAAGUAACUAUGCACGUCUUGACGGUACCUAAUCAGAAAGCCACGGCUAACUACGUG